GGAUGGAUGUCUGAGCGGUUGAAAGAGUCGGUCUUGAAAACCGAAGUAUUGAUAGGAAUACGGGGGGUUCGAAUCCCUCUCCAUCCG
This 87-nucleotide transfer RNA is filed under the name Triticum aestivum (bread wheat). It matches the Rfam family "tRNA". Rfam says of the family: Transfer RNA (tRNA) molecules are approximately 80 nucleotides in length. Their secondary structure includes four short double-helical elements and three loops (D, anti-codon, and T loops). Further hydrogen bonds mediate the characteristic L-shaped molecular structure. tRNAs have two regions of fundamental functional importance: the anti-codon, which is responsible for specific mRNA codon recognition, and the 3' end, to which the tRNAs corresponding amino acid is attached (by aminoacyl-tRNA synthetases). tRNAs cope with the degeneracy of the genetic code in two manners: having more than one tRNA (with a specific anti-codon) for a particular amino acid; and 'wobble' base-pairing, i.e. permitting non-standard base-pairing at the 3rd anti-codon position. The record is from Rfam by way of RNAcentral. Lineage: Eukaryota; Viridiplantae; Streptophyta; Magnoliopsida; Poales; Poaceae.